This 66-nucleotide transfer RNA is filed under the name Seladonia aeraria. Its description in RNAcentral is "tRNA-Glu". Lineage: Eukaryota; Metazoa; Arthropoda; Insecta; Hymenoptera; Halictidae. The record is from RNAcentral.
AUUUAUAUAGUUUAAAUUUAAAACAUUAUAUUUUCAAUAUAAAAAUAAUAAUGUAAUUUAUAAAUU